This is a non-coding RNA of Epinephelus lanceolatus (giant grouper), 679 nucleotides long. The record is from the annotation of a RefSeq genome assembly. NCBI's taxonomy places the organism in Eukaryota, Metazoa, Chordata, Actinopteri, Perciformes, Serranidae.
CAGUGAACACAAACUUGUCCUUAAAUCCUCAACUGCACUUGUAAUAUAAAUCUUUUCUUCUUUUCCAUUAAGAUGAUAGAUGGUGUAAAUCCAAGCAGUAUUCCUCCUGAUUUUGUGUCCCACGUUGCCUUGAGUCUGUUGAGAGCAGAGAAAUGAUUUCCAUAGAGAGGAGGCUUUGCAUGGUCAGCUGAUCCUCCAGUGAAGUGAGAAGGUUUAUAGUCCUGUGAGUUCAACACUGCAGGACUCAGAUGUGUCAGUCAACACAGCAGAAAGCACAAGCACCAUGACUCUCAUCACCAUCCUCAUCUGGACGCUGGCCUGCUGCUGUUUCACAGGAUGCAGCGCUCAGGUGACUGUGACUCAGCCUCCAGUGGUGACAUUUACUCCAGGAUCCACUGUCACUCUCACCUGUAAGACCAGCCAAGAUGUUUACAGAUAUGAGGAUGAUGACAGUGAAUUUGAGGCUAUGUUCUGGUAUCAACAGAAAUCUGGACAGCCUCCAAAGACCCUAAUAUCAAUUGUCAACAUACGUGUAUCAGGAACACCAGCUCGGUUUAGUGGCAGUGGAAGCAGCUCUGACUUCACUCUGACCAUCAGUGGAGUUCAGACUGAAGAUGCAGCAGUUUAUUACUGUCAGAGUGUACACUUAAUAAACAGUGCUGAGGUGUUCACACAGUGA